RNAcentral lists this ribosomal RNA (360 nucleotides) under uncultured bacterium. Its description in RNAcentral is "bacterial SSU rRNA". It matches the Rfam family "Bacterial small subunit ribosomal RNA", at positions 63 to 450 of the family's 1533-position model. The record is from RNAcentral.
CGAACGAAGUAGCAAUACUUAGUGGCAGACGGGUGAGUAACAUGUAGGUAUCUGCCCUUUGGCCUGGAAUAACACGAGGAAACUUGUGCUAAUACCGGAUAAGUCUUUACGGAGAAAGCUUUAUGCACCAUUGGAUGAGCCUGCACUUGAUUAGUUUGUUGGUGGGGUAAUGGCCUACCAAGACUGUGAUCAAUAGCUGAUUUGAGAGGAUGAUCAGCCACAUUGGGACUGAGACACGGCCCAAACUCCUACGGGAGGCAGCAGUGGGGAAUCUUGCACAAUGGAGGAAACUCUGAUGCAGCGAUGCCGCGUGAGUGAAGAAGGCCCUUGGGUUGUAAAGCUCUUUCGUCGGGGAAGAAA